Molecule: transfer RNA, 73 nt
Filed under: Camelus bactrianus (Bactrian camel)
Lineage: Eukaryota; Metazoa; Chordata; Mammalia; Artiodactyla; Camelidae
Also listed under: 1 other name
Rfam family: tRNA
About the family: Transfer RNA (tRNA) molecules are approximately 80 nucleotides in length.
Source: Rfam by way of RNAcentral
GAGGGUAUAGCUCAAGUGGUAGAGCAUGUGCUUAGCACGCAUGAAGUCCUGGGUUCAGUCCCCAGUACCUCCU